GCGUCUUUUGUCAUUUUCACAUUGUACGGAAUGAUGAUUGUCGCAUUGACUCCUGGCCAGCAAGUUGCUACCAUUGUCUUGUCCUUCUUCCUUGCACUAUGGAACUUGUUCGCCGGUUUCAUGAUUCCCAGACAGGUAUGUGCUGCAAACACAAUACUUCUUCCAUAUUUGAUUUUCCAUUUUUAUCCACGUCAAUAUGAAUAAAAUCGUCCCUAAAGCCGUUGAGGGCAUAGCAUAAAAAAUUUGUGCAGCUGCGUAAGCUGAAAAUGAACAAGACCGUGCUGAAUGGAAGCAAGUUUUAAUUUUUAUUUCUUCACAAUUCUGUAGCAUCUAUUUUUUAGACUAACAGUUGAUGUGCAUACACAACAGGAAAUUCCUGUCUGGUGGAGGUGGUACUACUGGCUUUCUCCGGUGGCUUGGAAUCUGUAUGGCCUUGUGACUUGUCAAGUUGGUGACGUAGAGACACAGGUGCAGAUCCCUGAUGGCACUUCAAUGACAGUGAAGCAAUUUGUCAAAGAUAAUUACGAUUACAAGACUGAUUUCAUUCCUGUGGUCGCUGUUGUGCAUCUUGCCUGGAUUGCCGUCUUCUUAUUUGUGUUUGCCUAUGCCAUCAAGUCCAUCAACUUCCAAAGGAGAUAAACCUGUAGCUCAAAUCUUUAGAAUGCUACCUAUUCUUAGAAUUGUAAUCUUUCAAUUUUGCUUGUUACUUGACUUUUAAGUAGAAAUUGUGAUAUGGAAUCCAAUGUAUUCUUUUAUGAAAAUUAAAUGAAUAAAGAAGUUUAAUUUUUGCAAAGAAUUUUUCAUAGAAAUUGUGAUAUCUACAUAUUUCUUAGCCCAUGGAAAAAUUCAGUUUAAGAAAAUACCCCCACUUGAUCCUGGAGUUUUCUCUAGGAUUCAAACAAUCUUCUGAGUUUUCUCUUCAAAGUUGUGAUAUUUUACGAAUCUUGAAAGUAUUUACUGCAUGCAGAUGGAGAAUUAAAAGUCCAUUAACCUGGAAGUAUGCCAGUUUUCUGCUUUCGCGUUUCUAAAUAAAACAGUGGGAUUUUCACUAGCUAGUGAAUUAUCAUCCGACCCCUGUACAGCUUUGUCUAUGUUUUUGGUUUGGUAUCUCUCCCUCUUUCAUUCAUCAAGUUAAUAUUAUUUACAUGUUUACUGUGGGGAUUUUCUCACAGAGCAUUGAUACCUGGACCUCCAGUAUCUGAUGAAUGUGUCAGUUAGACACUAGGGAUGGCAAUGGAUUGGAUCUGAUCCAAUAUCCACGUGAUCCAAAUCCAAUCGGAUCGGAUUUGGAUCGGUUUAAAAUGGAUUUGGAUCGGAUUUGGAUAUUAAUGUGCGGAUCUAAGAUGGAUCUGGAGCAGAUCUGGAUCUAUCUUAAUAUCUAAAUCCAUAUCCAUAUCCACUCAUCUUUUAAUUUUAUUUUAUUUUAAAAGUUUCUUAACAAUUGUGAAAUUAUAAUGAUAAUAAAUUUUAUUCAUAACAUAUUAGUAGUAUUUACCAUGCAUUUAAACUCUUAAAACUUAAAGGUUAGUUUUGUAAAUUUAAAGGUCAGUCAGCCUCAAAACAUGUACAUGCAAUAUUCAAAUUGUAAGUCAAGUAAUAUAACUUGACAAUUUAUUUUAUUAUAUUGGCCAAAUAAUUUUUAAGGAAUAUAGUUAUUCAUAUAUUUAGUCAAAUAUGGUCAUAAUAAAAAUAAUAAAGGACUGAAUAUAAAUCAUAUUUAAUUUAUAUAUCAUUAUCUAAUGUUGUAGGAAUGAGGGUAGGUGUAUCGUGGAUAUUAGAAUGGUGAAGGAGACAAUAGAAUAUUAGAUUGAUCUUACUCUUGCAAUUACUUCGGAAUGAUAUUUUAUUAUCUUUCUUAUUUGUUGUUUUGGUGUAAAAGUAUAAGCUACAAUAUUUAUUAUAUUUUUGAGAAAAAUUAUAUAAUUUAUUUGUUAUCAAUACAUUUUACCCUUCAAUUUUCAAUCUAAAAAAUUAUUACUUUUUUAUUACUGAAUUUUAGAAUUCAUGACGAAUCUAGAGCAGAUUUGGAUUUUAAUUUUUUUUUUCCGGAUUUGGAGCAGAUAUAGAUAUUUAUUUCUUUUUUGGAUCUGGAUAUGGAGCGAAAAAUGUGGAUUCAUGACGGAUCUAAAGCAGAUACGGAUCUUGAUUUUUAUUAUGGAUUUAGAUUUGGAGCAGAGUAGAUCCAACCCAUAUCUGCCCCAUUGCCAUCCCUAUUAGACACCCGAGACCAUAAUAAGUAGCAUCCAAACCGUAAAUCCGUUACCUUAUUUGUCAUAUUUAAUAGAUUGUCUAAAUUUGACUAGAAUUAUAGUACUAUGUAUAAUUAGGUGUAUGAACUCAACCGAUUGUUAUAAUUAAGCCCAAAUAGCAGUUUACAUAUAAGUCUAAUAGAAGGCCACAUAUAAAGCCCAACAUAGAAAAUAUGAAAAUAAACUCUCACUACUGUAUAGAGAGACUUGAACCCUCUACCUAAUACAAAAGAUAUUAACAAAUUCCACCAAAUAAUUGUCAGCUAUUAUACCCUAAAAUUAAGAAUUUUUUGAUAGAUAUUUUCUCAUAAAAUCAAUAAACUUUGACCAUAUCAAGCAAAAUAGUAAUAUCAAUCCACUUACCUACUCUUGGUACUACUAGUAGGAAGUUAAGUUAUAAUUUUAGAGUGUUUGAUAAAUACUUGCAAUUCUGUUGGAAGCUUAAGUCACAAUUGUUUGAUGAUGAAAUUUUGAAAAUAGAUUUAUUAUUUAAUUCAUAAUAUUUUUGAAAAGAAACAUUAUUUCACCUUUUAAUAUGUAUUUAAUAAUUGAUCCAAUGUAUGAGAAAGGAUAAUUUAUUUUAAUUAUGAUAUAUGAUAGGUGUAAUGUCAAGAUCAAAGCUACUUGAUUCAAAGUUCAAACCAAACCCACAUCAAUUAACUAGAGUGGUUCGUUAAAAGGAAAAAAAGAAAAAGAAAAAGAAAAAAAAAAAAGAGUUGUGGUUAUUGAAAUCCAAAGUCAUGCCGGGUCACCUUCAAACUCGUACUUUGGACAUUCCUUUAUUUCCCUGGUGUCUUGCUACAGAUAUUUAUGGAAACCGAAUACAUAACAUUUUUUUUAAUUGGGUAUUUAAAAGACAGGAUCAUUAUUUAUAUAUUUUAUUUAUUUAUUAUAUUUAAAUUUGUUAAUUGGAAAAAUCCAACGUCUAAAACCACUAGCCCUUGAAUUUCAGAAACGGUUAUAUUAUAAUUAUGCCUAUCUGAUAAUAAUAAUGCAAGCUGAAGCUCUUUGAAAAGGGCAAUAACAAUAAUAAUAAUAAUAAUAAUAAUGCAACUAAAUGAUUAUAAAAACUUUUGUUAUGUUAUAUAAUCAUGUAACAUAUAUGAUUAUGUAGUAAUUAUAAAAAUUUUAUUUAAUUAUAAAAAUAAUAUAAUUUUAUUAUUUUAUACCUACAGAACUGUUGAAUGAAAAUUCAAUUAACUGCUGCAUAAUUGUAUAGUUAUGUAACGUAAGGAUCUCCGAUUAUAAAAUAAAAAGUAAAAGAAGUCCCCUGUUAAAGAAAAGCGAUGUGAUUACUGAUGGAGUUCAUGAACAAAGAAAACUGAAGUGAACAAGAAUCUUGUGCCCCACGUGACUAUAUGUGGGCCCGCUGUGCACGAGGAUUAAGGAUGCUUUCACUCUGUUCACGUGGGAAGAUCAUAAGCAAAAUUUCUCGUCCAGUGGCAGUACUAUUGUGAUCCGAGCAUAUUACUUGCUGGAGGACUGAUUCCAAUCAGAAUGCGACACAGUAGCACUCAUUGAGUUGACCUCCGGACAUGCUAAGAGAAAAUUCAUCACUUGACCAAUUCAGACAAUUUGUCUGCCUGAGAAAUGGAGAUGCGUAGGCGAUAUAUAGAUUUUGCUACCUUACAUGUAAUAUAAGGUACAACCUUUUACAAGGCUGUAGGCUUAAAUAAGACCCAUAAUUCAAUUUGUGAGAGACUCUAAGGUAGCAGCUCCCUCUAUAUAUAUAUAUAUAUAUAUAUAUAUGGGUCCUUCUAUCUUACAUGCAUGCAAGAUACAUCCCCUUACAUGAAUAGUGCAUGUGUGGGACCUACACACUAUUCAUGUGAGAGAAAUAUAUCUUACAUGCAUGUAAGAUAAUGUUUGCCUAUAUAUAUAUAUAUAUAUAUAUAUAUAUAUAUAUAUAUAUAUAUAUAUAUAUAAAUAGCACUCACACCCAAACAGGCUUUGCCUAACUUUCUGGAAAAUAUUAUUAACUGUACUGCAACUGAAAGAAAGGCUUUUGUCUUUUGAGCUGAUUGCAUUACUGCCCAGUGCAAAUUGAGCUUUCUUGAGAAAAGCAAAAAAUGAUCCUUUCCCUUUCUUUCUGGAUUAAAAAUCUUUCUCAUUAUCACGCGCAUGCAUCGUUGAGUGUGAGCUCGGCAAACUUCUAACGUUAUCUCUGACUUUGAUGAUUCCAGCCAAUUUCCUCUCUUUCAUACCAGAGGCGAGGGUAGUACAAUGAAGUUGCUAUGUAACGGCACGUUUGGUGUUUUAUAUAUAUAUAUAUAUAUAUAUAUUUUCAACUUGUAUUUUUUUUCAAAAAAAAAAAAUGGUAAUAUUGAAGGGGACGAAAUCAUAAAUUACUUAAAAUGGCUAAAUUAGCCUUUGUUGUCUUGAGUUUCCAAAGGUCUAAAAUGUGGGUCUGAUAUUCGUCAAGAGUAAUGAUACAACCAUAAAUUAUUGUAUAAAUUUAUUUUGUACAAACUGACGUGGCACUAAUUCAUUGGUUGAAUAAAAAUAUAAAAUAAUAAAAACAAAUCAUGUGGGUCAAGUGAUAUUUAAUUCAACCAAUCUUAUCAUGCCACAUAAAUUUAUACAAAAUAAAUUUGUACAAGAAUUUGUAGCUAUAUCAUUACUCAUUCGUCAAAGACACUAUACUGACUAUAUAAAGGGAACUUUUCAUUCAAAAAUGUAUUCUCUCUUUCAAUUUCUUAUACACACAACUGAGGGACAAUAGUGCUCUUGCAAAAUCUAUUAUGUGUGUGUCUCUCUCUCUCUUUUUUUCCCCUUUAAUUUUCUGCAUCUCUCUUCAGUUAUGUGUAUGAGAAAUUGAAAGAGAGAAUCCCUUUCUAAAUGAAAAGUUCCCUUUUUAUGUAUAUGUAGUUGUUUAUGGAGGAAAAUAACUAUCCUUCUCUUGAAUGUCCGUCCAAGUGCAGCUGCUUCGUGUUCACGAUAAUGUGGUGAAAUAGGAUUUGCUGGUGUAAAUCUAUGCACCUACAACUCUAUAAAUUAAAAUGGUGUUGUUGAGUUAAUAUUUUUUUAUAUAACCGAGACAUUAAUUUUGUAUUUAAAUGAUGUCACAUACAUUUAAAGGAUCAUUCUUUCGUAAAAUUUUAUAAUUUUUUGAAAACUGGAACGCACAUGGAAUUGGCUUUUAGUUCAGGUUUAAUAUAUGGAUCGUAUCUACCUAUCACAUAUUCUCUUGUCUCUCUUCAUAUGAUCUUAUCCCCAUUUUCAUGCUCUGUCCCUCUUCUUUUUUUUUUUUUGAUUGAUAAUGAUAUGAAUUCUAGAAAACUGAAAUGCACAUGCAAUCAUACAGUACCCACUCCAAAAAAACCAGCCUGUAAAGUCUUAAUAAACUGUAACUUAGCUUUAAAAUAACUAAUUAUUUUGUCAUCUCAUAUUCUCAUCCAGAGGAAAACAUUAUUGGUCAAUAUUAAUACGUGCCAGCAUUACAAUAACUUCGGGAGCAAAACUAUAUUAUAAUUUUAUUUGUUCUAUCUAAAUCCUGGCUGGCGAGAUUCUCCGCAUUAAUUUCGAAAUUUUCAGGUAAAAGAAACAAAAUAUUAAUUAAUGUGUCAUAUUUAUUGAAUUAGAAAGAAAACGAAACACACACCGAUCACACAACGGUGCUUCAGUUUUUUUUUUACAAAAAAAAAUAAAAAAUAAAAUCAGGAUUCUCUUCUGAUCUGAUCUUCUCAUGAGUAAAUAUACAUGUGGUGAUUGAUUGUUAAUAAAAUAAAAAAAUAAAGAAGUUAAAUCAUAUCCAUACACUAUCACUUAAAGACAGAUAACAUAAAAUCUUUUAAAAGCUCAUGAGAGCUCAGAUGAAGAGAGGAUAUUUUUUCCAAAAAAAAGAACCACAAUCACUAAUUUCUCAUAAUUUCCCCACUUCAUUUCCUCUGUAUGUAACUCCUUAAUUUGUUUAAUAAAUGAACCAUGUAUGCAUGCCCACCAUUCUGUACUCUAUAUUCAGCAUAUAUUAAAGUUAGCACGAUCUAAUGUGACAGAGGAGAGAGAAGAUAAAGAACAAGAAAAUAGUAGAAAAUUAAAUUAAAUUUACAUUGAUGGAUAAUUUAGUAAUUAUAAGUUUACAUUGAAUGAGGUUUUUGGUUAUUUUAACACAAAAGUAAUAACUCAUAGUAUGCAUAAUCGUAAAUUUUUAUAAUGUGUCGGGAUUUUUUUUUUUUUUUUUUUGUUUUAUAAUGUCUCAUCCUCACCACCCAAUGAAACGUAUUUAUGAAAGAAUAAAUUGCAUGGUUAUAGAAAAUAGAUUUUUUUUUUAAAAUUCGGAAUCUAGCCAUUUAGAUGCACCAUAAAUAUUUCCAAUAUGAGUGGUUGAGCUGCUACCCUCACACUCGUGAGAGCAGUGGUUCAAGCCCCCACAAAAAUAUUGUGGGGCUAAAAUUUCAUUCUCAAUUAUAUAAAUAAUUGUCUCUCUUGAAAUGAGAGUGUAGUCAAUAUCUCUCUGUUUGAUUGUAAAUAUAUUAGUAAAUAUUCUCAUGUAAUGUGAGUUGUAAUCAUAUACAUUAGUCUUUAUAAUAAAUAAAAAAAAAAUUCCAAUUUUAUGGCUUAUAAGAACGUCAUCAUUACGAGAUUCACUACCUUUGAAUUUCUUUAAUUCGUUAGUGAGCUUUUUUCACAUAGUCAAUAUUAUUUCAAAAACAAAAAUACUAGACAAUUCAAAAAUUAGGACUUGAAAGGUACGUCUUCUCAGCCACCAUAUAUGAGCAGCUCAUGCAGCAACGCCGCCCCUUAGGAGUGGGCAUAAAUUACACAAACGGAGCUAAUCUUGUUAAAAUUAGCUAAAAAGAUAUCAUUUUAACAGGGACUGAUAGGGACUCUAAAGAUUUAAUAUUGAUCAUACACGUCUUAAUUAUCUUUUUUUUUAAUCUAUUUGAUGAUCUCGGAUAUAUUAUAUAUAUUUCUCUAGGAUCUGUGGUAUAUAUAAACCAUGGUUAGAUGGUUUCAUUUUAGUCAACACCAUUAUCAUCAAUAAAAAAGAAUUAUAUAGCAAAGGGGAAUUUUUCUUUUUACUUUGACUGCUCAGGAAAAUAAUGACUCGUGUAAGCCGUGCAUUUUUCACAAAUUCUGUCAACAAAAUUCAACAAGUCCCAAUAGAUAGUACUGUAUCAGUAGUAAUUGGGAAUACUAUUGGCUAAUUAAUUUAAUUCGUAAUUAGACAAGUAAAUCAGAAAAAAUAUCAUGCCGUUGUUGUCAGCAUUUUGUCUAGAUUUUUUAUAUCUAAAUAUCAGUGAUAAGAUUAUCAGCAAGUCUCCAUCAACUUGUUGUUUUUUAAAUAAAUAUAAAUCAAGAUGGACCGACAAAUCUCCAUCACCUUGCUUGCUUUUUCGUAAUUAUAGGAGACUGAAAAUAUAUUUAAAAUUGUAGGGUUACCUGCUUGGAGGGGUAAGUAACUAAGUACAAUAAUUGCCAACUCAUUAAACGGCGUCGUGGUGAUUAAAAUCACGACUUCAAUCAAUAUGUUUAGAUUUUUUUUUUUUAAUGGUCAACGAUAGUUAAGGACUAAUGUGUAAAGAAAUUGAACAAGGUGGGUUCAUUUGUCAAAAUAUCCAAACCUGUGGGUUUUUUUAUUUUUAUUUCUCUAGAAGCAAAAGGUUUGAGUUGAGCCCCUCUUUUACGAAUGCGAAGAAUUACUAUUUGCCGAUGAAUAGAGUCUACAAAAGAAGACGAAGAAACUCUUCGUCAAUUAUUUGACCAAUAUAAAUAUAAAAUCAAAAGCUCCUCCCAAAUUGCUGCAGCGUCUCGAUGCAAUUAUUUCGAUUUUUUUUUUAAAUAAAAAUAAUCGAAGAUUCCUCCUCAUCUUCGCCAACUACUAGCUGUCAAGAAAGCCUCAUUAAAAUCGACAUCAUGAAUUGGACAACAGACUUCUUGGUCUAGUUGAUAAUUAAUUCAUGAAAAACAAAACCCGAAACGUGAUCCAAAAGUCGAUGUAUAAAUAAAUAAACAGAGAGAGCCCGCCUCUUUUGACGAGCGUUACAUCGUAAAUUAUUUCCAUUACCGAAAUAUAAUCAUUAAUCAAUAAAAUUUCAUAGACUAAAUAAACAAAUAUAACCAAAAUAACAAAAUAAAACGUGUUGCAAAAUUAAGAAUUUUAAAUUAAAAAAUAAAUAAAUGCAGAACCCGCCUGCUUUGACGAACGUUCCACGCAAGUAGUCUUUCUUUUUAUAAAUUGCCAGGCUGCUGCAUCCACUAGCACCCUUCACACUCCCUUUUAAAAUUCAUUUCUCCCACCAGCUUCAAUUUCAUUCUUUGAUUCAAGCCAUAAGCUGUUUUGUAAAGUUUUUCGUUUAUAUUCAAUCGGUUUACAUCUUAUUUUCUAAAGACUUUAAUAAGAAAAAGAUAAUAAAAUAAAGAAGAAGAAGAAGAGGUUUGGAUUGAACACAGCAAGAUGAGUGCCACCGUGGCAGACGAUCUAGCAAGAUCAUUUUCAGUGAGAGGGGGGCAGAGCAUAUCAUCGGGUAGCCGCCGGAGCUGGGCGUCGGCCAGCAUCCGGGAAGUAUGGAAUGCGCCGGACAACGUGUUCAGUAGGAGUGAAAGGCAGGACGAUGAAGAGGAGCUGCGGUGGGCCGCCAUUGAGCGGCUGCCGACCUACGAUCGGCUAAAGAAGGGCAUGCUAAACCAAGUUCUUGAAGAUGGAAAAGUUGUUAAACAUGAAGUUGAUGUCAGUAAUCUUGCCAUCCAAGAUAAGAAGCGGUUGCUCGAAAGUAUAUUGAAAAUCGUUGAAGAGGAUAAUGAAAAGUUCCUUAAAAGAAUUAGGCACAGAACUGAUAGGUAAACAAGUAUUUUUCAUUUUAUUUUGUUUGAUUUUGCCGAUUGAAUCAUUUGACUUUUUUUUUUUUUUUAAUGGUACACUUCUUUGUGAUUAAUGAUUGUAACAGAGUGGGAAUUGAGAUUCCUAAGAUUGAAGUUCGAUAUGAUCAUUUAUCCGUAGAAGGUGAUGUGCAUGUUGGAACCAGAGCUCUCCCUACCUUGCUUAAUGUUGCCUUGAACAUGUUGGAGGUAUUUUUUUCCCCUUUUCCAUUUAUUCUUGGUAUCUUUGUCUUCCAAUUUCUAAAAUUCUUUUGAAGAUUAAUUGUUGUUCUUCUGAUUUUUCAUGGAAAAUAGAGCGCUCUAGGAUUGUUGCAUUUAGUCCCAUCUAAGAAAAGAAGCGUUCGGAUCCUUAAAGAUGUCAGUGGGAUUGUCAAACCAUCAAGGUAAUUAAUUUCAUGAAAUAUGUUUUGUGAUCUGAUUAACCAAUAUUUGUUGUAUCGGUUACUGACAUAGAAAUUUCAGGAUGACACUACUUCUUGGUCCUCCUGGUGCCGGGAAAACAACAUUGAUGUUGGCUCUUGCUGGGAAGCUUGGUAAAGAUUUGAGGGUCUGUUUCCCAUCUCUUUACAAUUUGAUCUCUGAUUACUUUAUGUUUAAUUAUCUUAGAUAAGUUUCUGACAAUCUGGAUUUGGAGAACUGCACAGGCAUCUGGGAAAAUCACAUACUGUGGCCAUGAAUUGAAUGAGUUUGUGCCACAGAGAACCUGUGCUUACAUCAGUCAACAUGAUCUUCACCAUGGAGAGAUGACAGUGAGAGAGACACUGGAUUUCUCAGGAAGAUGCUUAGGUGUUGGUACAAGAUAUGAACUGCUCGCUGAACUUUCGAGAAGAGAGAAACAAGCAGGAAUUAAGCCAGAUCCUGAGAUUGAUGCAUUCAUGAAAGCCGUGGCAGUUGCAGGCCAAGAAACUAGUUUGGUUACAGACUAUGUUCUCAAGGUUUGCUCUCCAUUUCAACUUUGUUUUGUUUCACACGAUCGUAACAUAUUUCAUGAUACAUAAAAUUUAUUAACCAUAACAGAUUCUUGGCUUGGAUAUAUGUGCCGAUACUAUGGUUGGUGAUGAGAUGAGAAGAGGUAUUUCUGGUGGUCAGAAAAAGCGUGUUACAACUGGUAUGUUGCCCACGACAAGUCCUUGGCAAUCUUGAUUGCUCAUUCAUAAGUUUCUCUAGCAGUAGCAGCUUCUUAAAAAUUGUUGCUUUAUCUUAAAAAAAAAUUAUUUUCUUUAUUGCAAAGCAUCAACAUUUAACAAUUUUAAUGUGUGCAGGAGAGAUGUUGGUUGGAACGGCAAAUGUUCUUUAUAUGGAUGAAAUAUCAACUGGGUUGGAUAGCUCCACCACUUUUCAGAUUUGCAAGUUUUUGAAGCAAAUGGUUCACAUCCUGGAUGUAACAAUGAUUGUUGCUCUUCUGCAACCGGCACCAGAGACGUAUGAUCUUUUUGAUGAUAUUAUCUUACUUUCAGAAGGUCAAAUUGUCUACCAAGGUCCACGUGAUAAUGUCCUUGAGUUCUUUGAACACAUGGGUUUCAAAUGCCCUGAAAGAAAAGGAGUUGCAGAUUUUCUGCAAGAAGUCACUUCGAAAAAGGAUCAAGAACAAUAUUGGUUUAGAAAAAACCAACCCUACAGAUAUAUUCCAGUGUCUGAUUUUGUGGAAGGUUUUAAAUCUUUCCACAUGGGCCAGCAGAUUGCAUCGGAUCUUAGGGUCCCUUAUGAUAAAUCCCAAGCCCAUCCGGCUUCGUUGGUGAAAGAGAAGUAUGGUAUUUCAAAAUGGGAAUUGUUCAGGGCUUGUUUUGCAAGGGAGUGGCUGCUAAUGAAGCGCAAUUCGUUUGUAUAUAUUUUCAAGACUUUCCAGUUAACAUUCAUGUCCUUAAUUUGCAUGACGGUGUACUUCAGAACAGAAAUGUCAGUGGGAGAUAUGAAUGGUGGCAGUAGGUAUUUUGGAGCACUGUUUUUCAGUCUGCUCAAUAUAAUGUUUAACGGGUUUGCUGAAAAUGCAAUGACGGUUUUGAGGCUCCCCAUAUUUUACAAACAAAGGGAUCACUUAUUCUAUCCUUCCUGGGCUUUUGCCUUACCUAUAUGGCUUCUCAGGAUCCCAAUAUCAAUCCUGGAUUCAACAAUAUGGGUCGCUCUGACUUACUACACCAUAGGUUAUGAUCCAGCAGCAAGCAGGUAAUGGUAGUUCUUAGAGUCACAGUUCUAUAUCUCACAACAUUGACAGUACAACUAUAAUAUGUGGAUUUUAAGUUUUUGAUUUUUCAUAGCUAUGAGUCAGUGCUAGAUCUAACAGUUAUUUGAGUUUCUUGGACUGAAAUUUAUCUCCUUGUUCUUUCCUUUAGGUUCUUCAAGCAAUUCUUGGCAUUCUUUUCUAUUCAUAAUAUGUCUCUGCCUCUUUACCGGUUAGUUGCUGCUGUUGGAAGAACUGAAGUUAUUUCAAAUACACUGGGUACUUUCAUCUUGUUAAUCAUGAUGUCGCUUGGAGGAUUCGUCAUGGCCAAAGGUAAGCUGAUUACCUUUUUCUUUCUCACUAUUAAGUUAUUUUUGCUGGAUUAUGAACAAAAAAAUUGUACCUUUAAUAGAAAUUCUAUUCUCGUUAAGGAAUAAUGGAUCAGUUCAAUCAUUUUUUCAUUUUGUGCCUGCAGAUGACAUUGAGCCGUUUCUGAGAUGGGGCUACUAUAUUUCCCCUAUGAUGUAUGGACAGACUUCGUUACUUGUAAAUGAAUUCCUUGGUGGAAGAUGGGAUGCAGUAAGAUCUAUUUUGCUUUGACUUUUUCCUGUUGUGAUUCUCAUUCCAUUUACUGAUAUAAAUGAUAAAUGCAUUUUACACACAUAAAUAUUGUCAUCUCUUAUUUUCCUCAUUUCCUGGCCAUAAUUCAUCCGCCAUAACUCAUAUGUUUCAAUAUAUUGCAGCAAAAUAAAGACCCCAGUAUUAAUCAACCUACAAUUGGGAAAGUACUUCUCAAAAUUAGGGGCUUCUCCACUGAAAGUAAUUGGUAUUGGAUUGGCGUUGGAGCACUGACUGGAUAUUCUUUUCUCUUCAACUUUCUGUUUAUUGCAGCUUUGGCUUACUUGAAUCGUAAGUAAUCGAAUUUAAACAUUGUUUCUUUGCAUAAAAAUAAAGUUUCUAUCUUGACCAACACAAAAUGUGGGAUAUACGUUUCAGCUAUUGGUGAUUCAAAUUCGACUGUCAUAGAAGAAGAUGGAGAGAAGCAGCGAGCAUCUGGACAUGAAGCAGAAGGUUUAUGACCUUGCCUUGCCUCGUUUAGUGUUUUUUUUUUUUUCUUCCCUUCUAUUCUUGCCUUUUUCCCAUUGUCUCUGCUGGUGAUUUAGUCAGAGAUUAACAUGCAGUUGAUCUGUUUUCGUAUGAGAGGUUGAUUAACUUGUAUGCUACCAUAAUAUAGCUGCAAUUAAGCUUCCGAUUUACAAUCAAACUUUUUAUAACCUCCUAUUGGUUAUGAUAUCAAAUCGUUAUAAAUGCCCAAACUAUUUUUGAACUACUGCAGGUAUGCAAAUGGCAGUGAGAAGUUCAUCUGAAACUGUUGGGGCUGCUGAAAAUGUAACUAAAAGGGGGAUGAUUUUACCCUUCCAGCCCCUUUCACUUACAUUCGACAAUAUGAGCUACUUCGUGGAUAUGCCUGCAGUAAGUCAUCGUCUCAAUACAUGAUAAAACAUAUGACGUAAAUAUCUAAUUGCUUUGGAAACAACUCUUUUCAUUUAUGCGGCCAAAAUUUGACGUAAUUACUUGGCAUUCUACUCCAGGAAAUGAAGACUGAAGGAGUUGGAGAAGAUCGUCUUCAACUGCUACACAGUGUCAGCGGUGCAUUCAGGCCAGGAAUAUUGACAGCAUUAAUGGGUGUAAGUGGUGCGGGGAAGACAACUCUGAUGGAUGUAUUGGCAGGAAGGAAGACCGGAGGAUAUAUUGAAGGGGACAUUAAAAUUUCUGGUUACCCCAAAAACCAAGAAACAUUUGCUCGAGUGAGUGGUUAUUGUGAACAGAAUGACAUUCAUUCACCCUAUGUUACUGUCUAUGAAUCUCUCCUCUACUCAGCAUGGCUUCGUCUUUCUUCAGACGUUGAUACGAAAAAAAGAAAGGUACAUAUUUCAUCUAGAAUCCUUCUUUUCAAUGUGGUUUGACAAAUUACCUGAUGAUCCUAUUGUGUGUUUAUUUUUCUCUACUUCCUUUGUGUCUGGCAGAUGUUUGUUGAUGAAGUUAUGGAGCUUGUUGAGCUCAAAUCAUUGAAUGAUUCUAUGGUUGGCCUUCCCGGAGUAAGUGGUCUUUCGACAGAGCAAAGGAAGAGAUUGACGAUUGCUGUAGAAUUGGUUGCUAACCCUUCUAUCAUCUUCAUGGAUGAGCCUACAUCUGGGCUUGAUGCUAGAGCUGCUGCUAUUGUCAUGCGUACUGUUAGAAAUACAGUGGAUACAGGGAGAACAGUUGUGUGUACAAUCCACCAGCCAAGCAUAGACAUUUUUGAAGCAUUUGACGAGGUACUUUCCAAAUCUUAUAAGUUUUCAUCAUAAAUAUAUUAUUGUUAGUUUUUUUCAGAAAUAUGUCAUUUUGUUGCAUGUAUUGAAAAUGAUAUUGUGGUUGUUGCAGCUAUUGUUGUUGAAAAGAGGGGGCCGCGUCAUUUAUGCUGGACCUCUUGGUCACGAAUCUCACAAGCUCAUAGAGUAUUUUGAGGUUAGCAUUCCCUUUUUUCCUGCUCUUUCUGUGGAUGGCUCUCUUUAGUUUUGAAAAGACAAAUGAUAGACUUAAUCAUUUCAGUUUUAAAAAUUUCUAAUGAAUAUUUGGCUCUGAUCUUGAGUAGUAAUUGAAUUACCACUAGCAAGAAUCAAAACAUGCACUAACAUCAAUAAACCAUCAGGCUGUUCCAGGGGUUCCUAAAAUUAAGGAAGCAUACAAUCCUGCAACAUGGAUGCUGGAGGUCAGUAACAUUUCAGUUGAGAAUCAACUGGGAAUUGAUUUUGCUGAAGUUUAUGCCGAUUCAUCGCUUCAUCAGUAAGUUUGAGUCCAACACAUGAUUUCAAAUUUUCAACAUGCUACGGCUCAUUUUUAAAUUAAUUCAUUUUUCAUAUAGGCGCGGAUUUCAAGUUAUUUUAUUAAAUUAUUACUUUCUUGACACCCUUUCAGGAGGAAUAAGGAACUUAUCAAAGAGCUUAGUACUCCGCCACCUGGCUCGUCAGAUCUCUACUUCCCAACCAAAUACUCUCAACCAUUUUUAACCCAAUUUAGGGCUUGUUUCUGGAAACAGUAUUGGUCUUAUUGGAGAAACCCUCAGUACAAUGCUAUCCGAUUUGGCAUGACUCUUGUCAUUGCUAUUUUCUUUGGUUUAAUCUACUGGGACAAAGGACAGAAGACGUAAGUUGACUUCCAUUUUCUAUUUGGUUCUUAUGUUAAAUUACCAUUAGCGGUAUGAUACAAAAAAAUUCUGCAAAAUGUCAAUACUCUAAAUUUUAAUAUGAUUAUUCCUUCUAUAUAAAGUGUGCUUAAAUUGUUUGUCUUGAUGAAAAUUUGAAACUAUUGGUUUUGUAUGAAUUAAAUUGAUAUAUAUUUUUUUCUUUUUUAAACAGUUCCAAACAACAAGAUCUGCAGAAUCUUUUUGGAGCUAUGUAUUCUAUUUGUAUUUUCCUUGGAACCAGCAAUGCCAUAUCCGUGAUACCCGUUAUCUGCGUUGAGAGAACAGUAUACUACCGUGAAAGAGCUGCAGGGAUGUUUGCUGCAAUGCCUUAUGCACUUGCUCAAGUAAGAAAUACAUUUCAUCUCUUCAAGAACUUAAUGUGUUUCGAUUCUAUCUUCCCUUUGUAAUGGAUCAGAAACUUUAUUAUUUGCAAGCUGUUUAAUGAACAUCUCCUAAUGCUGCAGGUAGCCGUAGAGAUAAUAUAUGUAUCAGUUCAAAGUGUUGUGUAUGUUCUUAUCCUUUACGCGAUGAUUGGAUUCAAGUGGGAGCUGGGAAAAUUCUGCUUGUUCUUCUACUUCAUGUGGGCGUCUUUUAUCAUUUUCACAUUGUACGGAAUGAUGAUUGUCGCAUUGACUCCUGGCCAGCAAGUUGCUACCAUUGUCUUGUCCUUCUUCCUUAGUGUAUGGAACUUGUUCUCCGGUUUCCUCGUUGCCA
RNAcentral lists this long non-coding RNA (15169 nucleotides) under Citrus maxima (pomelo). RNAcentral describes it as "long non-coding RNA (CMAX_LNC002874)". Lineage: Eukaryota; Viridiplantae; Streptophyta; Magnoliopsida; Sapindales; Rutaceae. The record is from RNAcentral.